Molecule: ribosomal RNA, 351 nt
Filed under: Triticum aestivum (bread wheat)
Lineage: Eukaryota; Viridiplantae; Streptophyta; Magnoliopsida; Poales; Poaceae
Description: partial small subunit ribosomal RNA
Source: RNAcentral
AUGUUAACCCCAUGCAUGCAAUUGGUUGUUCUAUGGAUUACUGUUCCUACACGGCCUCCAUGUGGCCUCCCUUCCCCCGCUUCUUACACUUCUCCAACAAAUUACAACCGGCUGGACAUUGAGCGGUCAGAUGGUAGGACAGCGCAUGUCCAUGUCCACCGUUUGAUCUUGGCUCGACCAUGGGCAUCAAGUCCAAUCUGCCAAGCUGCAGUGGAAUCCGCUUCCGGCGUUGUUCUUGAUUGGUUUUCUUGCCCUGCCAUCGGAAGGAUACUAUUUGGCUAUCCGAGUGAACCCGUUUGUGUUUUUCUGAUUGGAAUUGUUUCUUUGAAUAUAAUUGAACAAUCGAAAUAG